This 328-nucleotide ribosomal RNA is filed under the name uncultured Lachnospiraceae bacterium. RNAcentral's name for it is "bacterial SSU rRNA". It matches the Rfam family "Bacterial small subunit ribosomal RNA", at positions 28 to 339 of the family's 1533-position model. The record is from RNAcentral. Lineage: Bacteria; Bacillati; Bacillota; Clostridia; Lachnospirales; Lachnospiraceae.
GAUGAACGCUGGCGGCGUGCCUAACACAUGCAAGUCGAGCGGGAAUCGACGGACAGAAGCUUCGGCAGACGGAAGUUGAGGAGAGCGGCGGACGGGUGAGUAACGCGUAGGUAACCUACCUUAUGCACAGGGAUAGCCCCGGGAAACUGGAAUUAAUACCUGAUGAAGCGGUGAAGUCACAUGGCUUUAUCGCCAAAGAUUUAUCGGCAUAAGAUGGACCUGCGUCUGAUUAGCUAGUUGGCGGGGUAACGGCCCACCAAAGCGACGAUCAGUAGCCGGUCUGAGAGGAUGAACGGCCACAUUGGGACUGAGACACGGCCCAGACUCC